GCAAGUCUGGUGCCAGCAGCCGCGGUAAUUCCAGCUCCAAUAGCGUAUAUUAAAGUUGUUGCGGUUAAAAAGCUCGUAGUUGAACUUUGGGCCUGGGCGGACGGUCUACCUAUGGUAAGCACUGUUGCGGCCGGGUCUUUCCUUCUGGCUAGCCCUCGGGCGAACCAGGACGAUUACUUUGAGGAAAUUAGAGUGUUCAAAGCAGGCCUUUGCUCGGAUAUAUUGGCAUGGAAUAAUAGAAUAGGACGCAUGGUUCUAUUUUGUUGGUUUCUAGGACCAUCGUAAUGAUUAAUAGGGACGGUCGGGGGCAUCAGUAUUCAGUCGUCAGAGGUGAAAUUCUUGGAUUGACUGAAGACUAACUACUGCGAAAGCAUUGCCAA
RNAcentral lists this ribosomal RNA (380 nucleotides) under uncultured fungus. Its description in RNAcentral is "SSU rRNA". It matches the Rfam family "Eukaryotic small subunit ribosomal RNA", at positions 555 to 961 of the family's 1831-position model. The record is from RNAcentral. Lineage: Eukaryota; Fungi.